RNAcentral lists this long non-coding RNA (4751 nucleotides) under Gallus gallus (chicken). RNAcentral's name for it is "lncRNA (ENSGALG00010018316.1)". Lineage: Eukaryota; Metazoa; Chordata; Aves; Galliformes; Phasianidae. The record is from RNAcentral.
AUCAUUUUAGAUUUGUUUUAGUUUUACAAUAUGAUUGUAAGAACCAUAUAAUACAGUAGGUUUUACACAGGCCUGUUGAGAAGAAUUGUAUUUGCCUAUGAGGUAUAGGAAGGUUUAUCUUUGUGUUCUCUUAUCACUGGAGAAGCACCGUGCUAGAAAGCUGGUACAUAUUGGACAAAUGAAGGAGAAAUAAUAGAACUGUAGGACAUUUUUUUCAAGUUCUGAUAUACUGAUUGUAGAUUUAAGUACAGAAUAUGGCAAGCAAUCAAUUUAAUCCAAGUCAAAAUAUUUGCAUUCAAAAAAGGUGCUUAAACAGCAUUAGCUUAAAUCAUGUUUUCCUGGAUCAACUUCCUAUAUAUUUUUUUAGUUUCUUAAUUUAAAAUAGUCUAUAUCUUUAGGUAUAUAGUUAAAGAUUUAAAUCUCUAAUAGGAUUAGAGGGUAAUUAGAGUGUAAGAUUCAGAGGACAGAUGCAUAAUGUGGUUUCUCUACUCAAAGAAAAAAUAAAGUGAUUCAUUUGCAUUUUCUCUUAAGUUGUUCUCCUACAUCAAUAUGAGGAACAUGAAAUACAAAUACUUACAACAGAAAAAAAAAAAAAAGAAAUAUUAAUGUAGUCAACAUUUACUUAUGAUUUUUAUUCUCCUUGAAUAAAAUAUAGUGGUUUUCUAGUGACACUAAUUAACAUGUUAGUAGUACGGUAUUUUAAAUUAGAAAUAUUAUAAACCAUGAAGUAGACACCCAAAAACCAGACCACUUACAGAUCAUGCCUUUAUUUAAAUAAGCUUUAACAAGCUCUUUUUUUUUUUCCUAAAACAAUGAUAACAUUAAAUUUAUUUUAUAACUGAGGUAUAGUAUGUUAGACUGGGAUCUAACUGCUUUGAUGUCAUCAGAAUCUUUACACUGAAGAUUGCCUGGUUCCUUCUGCUGGUGUUGAAAAAUGCAUCCCCCUGGAUGAGCACGGCUUGUAUUUUCUGGGAUGUGGUAAGAUUCAGAAAGUGUAUUUUGUCCGGACUGAGUGUGGUGAUACAAACACAGUAAAUUCCAAUAUCUUUACAAAUUCUUGUCUCAUUUGGGAGAUGCAAGGGCAAUUUAUUUGACCACCCACCCAUCUUAUUUGCCUUCCUCAGGGAAAGAAACAUCAAGUCAUUUCUGCUCUAGGAAAGCUCUGAUGUAUUUUAAUCUGUUAUCUCCAUUACCGACUCCUGCUCAGUGCAGUAUCUGCUCCUAAAAAUGUAGGAGGACCUUGAAACUUCACUCCCCAGGCAUCAAGAAAAUGCUGAAGCAUACAAGAAGGAAGAGAUUGGGAAGGUAAAAUUAGAUGAAGGGGUGGAUCUGUUUUGUAAAUUCGAUAUGAAAGUAGAGGGCUUGGACAGAACUGCAGCAUUUGACAGGAUAUGACUGAUUUGAAUUUUGGAUGGGCAGAAGUGAGCUCUGAGUAAGAAAUCAGCAUUUGUGUAAAAACUAUGACAGAGUCAAACUAACCUUAAUUAAAUGAGUCUGGGAAAAUGGCCACAUCAUCUUUCACACCAGCACAUUGGACGUGAUUGGGAGGUAAUCAAAAAUCCAGAAUAUAAUCUGUGGAGGAAAAACAAAACAAAACUGAAGCAAAACAACUAGCUAGACUAUCAUCAUUCACAGUAUUUUCAAUUUUGAGGUCAAAAUUAACAAAUAAAUAUGCAAUAUUGUUUGCCUCUGCAUUUCUGGAAACAGAUCUCUUCAGAAAUACUCAGUUCAUUUUUGUAUGUUUGAUCUCAUUUACAUGAAUGUCAGUAAUCAGGUAAUUAAAUAUUAUUUAAAUAGCAUUCAGAUCCUGGUGGGAUGGGACUUUGAGCAACCUGUUCUAGAGGGAGGUGGAGUCCCUGCCUAUAGCAGGGGGCUGGAACUAGAUGAUCUUAAAUGUCCCUUCCAACCCAAACCAUUCUAUGAUUCUAUUCUGUGAUUGUUUAAGUAAAUGUUCCCUUUAUAAAAGUACAGUGAGAGAAAUGAUUAUUUAUUUCUUCUUGGUUAUGUUUAGCUGUUGCUACUGAGUAUCUGAUCUAAAUGUACAGAAAACAGAAGAUGAAAUGAAUCUAUAAGUAUAGCAACAAACUCAACUAACCACUUUAAUGCCUUUGCUCUAGUUUACCAUACAAAGAAUGUAUUUUGUCAAUAUAUUACUCUGCAGAAGUGAUGAAGAGAUUAAUGACCGGUAGAAUAUUCUAUCUCCUUUGCAGAAAGGAUAUGAUAAGAAAAGAGAAAUGCAGUAACAGCUGAGAACAAGUGAAUUACUGAAGUAUUCAAGAUGAAAAAAUAAAGAGAAGUUUCAGCCUUAAAUCAGAAAAUGAAAAUAAGAAAAGAAGAUCCCUGUUCAUGAAUGAAUACUAAGAUGAGAUAACAAUAAUUCAAAUAAUUCUAGUAGGAACUGUAAUCACAAUAGCAAUAGUAACAGUAAUGAUGAUAGUGACAGCAAUAACAGUAACACUACAUAAACCAUGAAUAUUUUUGGACUGUCACAAAUUAGAUUUAUGAACUCAUAGAAAAUCAGAUUAUUCUCUCUUUAUAAAGAACGUACAAAAAGGAUUAUUUAUCUCUUUACUUGAAGACUUCUUGACGCUCAAAUUCCCACUGAGGGGAAACCGUCACUCUAUUUUGUGUUCCUUUCUAAGACGUCAAGAAAUUAAUAACCAGGAUAUGUGGUAAGUGCUGUCAAAUUUUCUUCUGUCUUAAUAUCGCCCUCUUGAGUAAAUCUGCUAAAUGAUGAAAUAAUAUAUGACACCUAAGACAUCGAGUCACCUUACAAUCUUUUCCGUUUUUAUUCUGAUUCAUUUUUAUUUCUGAAAAGUGGGGAAGAGCUAUUCUCUCUCAACAUAGUCACAGAGCCUGGGAACUAGAUUCAGAAAACAACCAAGUCCCGGAAGACUGAUUAUUGCAGCAACAAAGUUCUGGCCUCUUUGAUUCCUAGAAUCUAUUUGCAUGAAUGAGGUGAUUACUUCUUAACAUCAUGCCUAGGAGUAAUGAAGCAUCUAAAAUCUGGAGACAGGAAAGACAGCCUACUAAAGCAGUGAAAUGCCAAUGACAGUCAAAAGGAUAAUGUCAAAAGAGAAUGUAUUAAUAUAACUGCUUUGUAGACUAUGGUCGCUUAUUCACUAUUUUAAGGAAGUUCUUAUCCCCCCGAUGGAAUUUGCAAGCAUGUACCUGUUCUCUGGUUAAGUUAAGAAUGGAGAUUUGGCAUCAGCUAGUUAUUAUUUUACUGAUUUCUUGUCCCAGGGUGUGAAAACUUGUUCUCUCUGAGGUUUCGACUUCACAUCCACAGGAAAAUAUUAAAUGUGAUAGAAUUUUGUGUAAUAGGGAAUUUUCAGUUUCCCUGAUAUAUUUAAUUCUUUUUUCCUGACAUAAACAAGUACUUAAGCUGUAGAGAAGAAAAGAAUAAGUAUGAAUUAUUCAUUAGUUUGACUUUUAGAGUAGUUACUAAGGAUUUAGGUUCAAAUUCUUAUUUGCAGAAUAAACAUUUAAAUAAAACACUUAGAAGAAUCAGAGGGGUUGGCAACCUAAAUAGCUGCUGAUCUUCAUAAGCUAUAUGUUAGUGUAUUCUAUGCUUAUUUUGGUUUGCUAUAUGUUAAAAAAAAAAUACUGGAUACUAACAUAUUUGCUUGAAAUAGACACCUAGGGCCAAUAUCUUUUGCAUCCUUUGUUGUUGCCAUAAGCUGAGCAGUGAUUAUAAAACAUGUUAAGAAGAAUGUAUUCCAUCUACUAUUUGGUUAUACUAGGAAAAGUGACUAAAUUAAAGUUGGCAAACAAUGCUAGGAAACAAGCCAUUAAUGAGCCAUACGUAGACACACAGAAAAACAAACCUCCUCUGCAUAUGAGUGAUUAAAUCACCCAGUGAAAAUUGUAUUAAUGAGCUAAAAAACAACACUCUAUUAAGGAAACAAUAGAAUCAUAGAAUUGUAGAGUAAUAGAAUCAUGGAAUGGCCUGGGUUGUAAAGGAGCAAAAUGAUCAUCUAAUUUUAACCCCCCUGCUAUGUGCAGGGUUGCCAACCACUAGAUCAGGCUGCCCAGAGCCACAUCCAGCCUGGCCUUGAAUGCCUCCAGGAACAGAGAAUCCACAACCCCCUUGGGCAACCUGUUCCAGUGUGUUACCACCCUCUGAGUGAAAAACUUCCUCCUAAUACACAACCUAAAUCUCCCCUGUCUCAGUUUAAGACCAUUCCCCCUUGUCCUAUCACUAUCCAUCUUCAUAAACAGCUGUUCCCCCUACUGUUUAUACUCUCCCUUCAAGUACUGGAAGGCCACAGUGAGGUCUCCAUGGAGCCCUCUUCUCCAAGUUAAACAAACCUAGUUCCCUCAACUUUUCUUCAUAGAAGAGGUGCUCCAGCCCUCUCAUCAUCUUAAUGGCUCUCCUCUGGACCCUCUCCAAGAGAUCCAUGUCCUUCUUGUACUGGGGGCCCCAGGCCUGUACACAGUACUCCAGAUGAGGCCUCACAAGACCUGAGUAGAGGGGCACAAUCACCUCCCUCUCCCUGCUGGCCACCCCUUUUUUAAUGCAGCCCAGAACACAGUUGGCCUUCCAGGCUGCAAGUGCACAUUGCUGGUUCAUGUCCAGCUUCUCAUCUACCAGGACCCCCAAGCCCUUCUCUGCAGGGCUGCUCUCAAGGAGAUCUUCCCUCAGUUUGUAUAAAUAUCUGGGAUUGGCCCGACCCAAAUGCAGUACCCUGCACUUGGCCUUAUUGAACCUCAUUAGGUUUUCAUGGGCCCACUUCUUUACCCUGUCCUGG